Camelina sativa (false flax) is the source of this 1425-nucleotide long non-coding RNA. RefSeq lists it as uncharacterized. The record is from RefSeq and is a predicted model, not a curated record. Lineage: Eukaryota; Viridiplantae; Streptophyta; Magnoliopsida; Brassicales; Brassicaceae.
UCUUUUUCCUCAAUUGAUCGAUUUCGAUGGUCGAUUCAUUUGUUUUCCUCUCAGUUUGUUGGUUGUCAACUGAUUUCUUGAGGUUGAAGAACAUGUAUCUCCAAUCAAUUUAUCAAUCUAUAUUCGGUUUUGUUGAUUGUCAACUGAUUUCAUGAGCUUCAAUGAAAGAGUGAGAGACCGGCCUCGGGGAAGAUGAGGAUAGCUAAUCCUCAAGUAGUAUUGUAGUAGACUUGUUCGGAAAACUUAAUUUAGUGAGUUUUGGGUCUUUGGGGAGAGUAGCGGUUCAAAUUUACAAUUGCUAUAGCAGUUUUAGGCAGCUGAACUUCAUAUGUAUGUUUUCUAGGGAUUUUUCCAUGAUCUAUGUUACUGAAUCGUUUGGCUUUUGAGUCUUCUUACCAUGUUUUUUUUAUUUGGUCAAAUCCUGAUAACUUUGGUUAAAGAAUUAGGAACUUCUCUGUUUUUUUUUUUAACUUCGAACGUAUCUUAAGAGGAAAUUUUCGAGGUUUGUUUCAUCUCCUAAAUUAAACCCGAUGUACGUUAACACAACCCCCAAAACUCUUCAAUUGCCCUUUUUUGAUAUAAUAGUUCAUGUUAUGUUUGAGUUCCAUUUAUAUUUUAAAUCUUAUAGACCAAAAGAACAAUCCAGGUAGGGUGCGAAAUGAGAGUUCUAAUUCACAUGGUAGUGCUUCUCAAACAAUGGGAUUCAAGGCGUUCAUAAAGGAAAGAAAAGAGUCUCCAAUUUCUAAUUUUAGUACAUAGCACCAGAAUGAUCUGGGCAAGACUCACGGUGCAUCCUUUCCUAACAUCAUUAUCAAGGUUAAACUUUCACAUCUCUUAUGUUUCGAAAUGAAUUGCUUCUUCUUUAAUUACUCUGCUUGCUUUUUCACAAGUCUGGUGGAGUUGUAGCCACGGACAAAGAUUACCAGCAAAGUUGAAGGACGUUUAGGAUUCAGUGAUAUGCAAGUCUUCUGAAUUGGUGGUGGACCACAAGCUCCAAUAUCACCUCUGCCAAUCAGGUCCAACCGGGUGUCAAAUCUGUUGAGGGUGACGUCUGUAAAUAUCGAUGAUCAGGAUCUGCUACAUUUUUUUAUCGAUGUCUCAUACGCAAAAGUACCAGACCAGAUUGACUCAAGUUGAUAUACUGAGGAUGAAGAUAACGUAUUUAGCACCACUCCCUGGGAACUUACUUAGCAAGUUCUUGAUCGCUGGAUCUUUUUCAUGGCUUGAGGAGUCGAGGUGAUUUGGUUAGAGAAGAGAGAGGAGAUGAUAAGCUCUGGACAAAUGCCCAUUGUGUGGAACAUGAAGUUUACUUUUCUUCUUGGACUUCAUUUGUAUAUGUUGUUUUCCUAUUAUGGACUUUUUGUAUCCUUUGUCAUUUUAUUAACUCUUAUCUCAUAACUUUUGAUCUGAUUAAAGUUAAGAGAA